UUGGGAUUCUCCAGUUUUUUGGGUUUUCCAGUUUUGGGGAUCUUUAAUUUUGGAGGUUUCCAAUUUUUGAGAUCCCAAAUUUUGGAAUUCUCCAAUUUUUGGGGUCUCUGAUUUUUGGUGUCUCCAAUUUUUGGGGGUCCCAAAUUUUGGAAUUCCCCAACUUUUGGCCCCUCCAAAUUUUGGGAUCCUCCAAUUUUCAAUUCUCCAAAUUUUGGGAAGUCUCUAAUUUUGGGGGAAUCCCAAAUUUAGGGCUGUAAAACUCCCCAAAAAUCCAUUUCCCCCCCCAUUUCUGACCUUCCCAGCCGUUCCCAGUUUGGCUUUGAGCUUCAUCCCAUAAAACUCCGAAAUUCCCGCCGGGAUUUUCCCGCUCCGGCUUUUCCCGGGAAUUUUGGGGGCCCGGUUCAGGUGGGAGCCCCAAAAUCCGGAAUCCUCCUCCUGCAACGACACCAAAAUUCCCAAAAUUCCCCCCAAAGCUGCUCAAACGCAGCCCAAAAUCCCAAAAAAAAUCCAGAAAUUUCUGGAAUUCCAGCCCAAAAUCCCAAAAAUCCCCCCAAAUUCCAGCCCAAAAUCCCCCAAAGCUGCUCAAACACAGCCCAAAAUCCCCAAAAUUCCCCAAAAUCCCAAAAGUUCCCAGCCCAAAAUCCCCAAAAUUCCCCCAAAGCUGCUCAAACACAGCCCGAAAUCCCCAAAAAUUCCACAAAUUUCCGAAAUUCCAGCCCAAAAUCCCCAAAAUUCCAGCCCAAAAUCCCAAAAAUCCCCCAAAUCUCUGAAAUUCCAGGCCAAAAUCCCAAAAUUCUCAAUUCUAAAUCCCAAAAUCCCAAAAAUCCCCAAAAAUCCCAGCCCCAAAUCCCAAAAAAUUCCAAAUCCCAAAAUCCCAAAAAUCCCCAAAAAUGCCCAGCCCAAGAUCCCAAAAUCCCCAAAAAUCCCAAAAUUCUCAAUUCCAAUUCCCCAAAAUUUUCCCAAAUCCCCAAAAAUCCCCUAAAAAUCCCCAAAAUCCCAAUCCUAAA
This 1007-nucleotide long non-coding RNA is filed under the name Chloebia gouldiae (Gouldian finch). RNAcentral describes it as "Erythrura gouldiae (Gouldian finch) lncRNA (ENSEGOG00005010982.1)". Lineage: Eukaryota; Metazoa; Chordata; Aves; Passeriformes; Passeridae. The record is from RNAcentral.